Molecule: ribosomal RNA, 467 nt
Filed under: uncultured bacterium
Lineage: Bacteria
Description: partial 16S ribosomal RNA
Rfam family: Bacterial small subunit ribosomal RNA
Source: RNAcentral
GACGAACGCUGGCGGCGUGCUUAACACAUGCAAGUCGAACGGAAAGGCCCUGCUUUUGUGGGGUGCUCGAGUGGCGAACGGGUGAGUAACACGUGAGUAACCUGCCCUUGACUUUGGGAUAACUUCAGGAAACUGGGGCUAAUACCGGAUAGGAGCUCCUGCUGCAUGGUGGGGGUUGGAAAGUUUCGGCGGUUGGGGAUGGACUCGCGGCUUAUCAGCUUGUUGGUGGGGUAGUGGCUUACCAAGGCUUUGACGGGUAGCCGGCCUGAGAGGGUGACCGGCCACAUUGGGACUGAGAUACGGCCCAGACUCCUACGGGAGGCAGCAGUGGGGAAUAUUGCACAAUGGGCGGAAGCCUGAUGCAGCAACGCCGCGUGCGGGAUGACGGCCUUCGGGUUGUAAACCGCUUUCGCCUGUGACGAAGCGUGAGUGACGGGAAUGGAUAAAGAAGCACCGGCUAACUACGU